GGUAGUGUAGUUAACACCUAGCACUUAUUUGACGUUACCUACAGAAGAAGCACCGGCUAACUCCGUGCCAGCAGCCGCGGUAAUACGGAGGGUGCGAGCGUUAAUCGGAAUUACUGGGCGUAAAGCGCAUGCAGGCGGCCUGUUAAGUCAGAUGUGAAAGCCCGGGGCGUUAACCUCGGAAUUGCAUUUGUAAACUGGCAGGCUAGAGUCUUGUAGAGGGGGUAGGAAUUUCAGGUGUAGCGGUGAAAUAGCGUAGAGAUCUGAAGGAAUACCAGUGGCGAAGGCGGCCCCCUCGGACAAAGACUGACGCUCAGAUGCGAAAGCGUGGGGAGCAAACAGGAUUAGAUACCCUGGUAG
RNAcentral lists this ribosomal RNA (357 nucleotides) under uncultured bacterium. Its description in RNAcentral is "bacterial SSU rRNA". It matches the Rfam family "Bacterial small subunit ribosomal RNA", at positions 443 to 793 of the family's 1533-position model. The record is from RNAcentral.